Molecule: non-coding RNA, 525 nt
Organism: Elephantulus edwardii (Cape elephant shrew)
Lineage: Eukaryota; Metazoa; Chordata; Mammalia; Macroscelidea; Macroscelididae
Source: the annotation of a RefSeq genome assembly
AUGACCUGGGAUCCUCUCCUUCUCACCUUCCUUAUUUACUGCUCAGGGUCUUUGGCUCAGUCUGUCCCGACUCAGCCACCUGCAAUGUCCAAGUCUGUUGGGGAGACAGUCACAAUCUCCUGCACUGCAAGCAGCAAUAAUGUUGGACGUGGAUAUCCACACUGGUACCAGCAGCUCUCUGGUAGUGCUCCAAGAACACUUAUCUACGAUGCUGAUAAGAGACCAUCAGGGAUCCCAGACCGAUUCUCAGGCUCCAGGUCAGGGAACACAGCCUCCCUGAGCAUCUCUGGGCUCCAGUCUGAGGACGAGGCUUAUUAUUACUGCUCAUCCUGGGACAACAACAUUAAAGCUGACACAGUGUUCCAGGCCAGUGGGGAAGGUAUUUAUCCUAACCAGCCUGUGCUGACUCAGCAGACUUCUGCAUCAGUCUUCUUGGGACAAGCAGCCAAGCUCACCUAUGUUGAGUAUUACCAGCAAAGCUUGGGGAAGGACCCCAAAAUUUGUGACAUGAGUGAUAAACAGUAG